RNAcentral lists this transfer RNA (76 nucleotides) under Chloroflexota bacterium. RNAcentral's name for it is "Chloroflexi bacterium tRNA-Arg". It matches the Rfam family "tRNA". Rfam says of the family: Transfer RNA (tRNA) molecules are approximately 80 nucleotides in length. Their secondary structure includes four short double-helical elements and three loops (D, anti-codon, and T loops). The record is from RNAcentral. Lineage: Bacteria; Bacillati; Chloroflexota. RNAcentral also lists the same sequence under 2 other names.
GCCCCCGUAGCUCAGUUGGAUAGAGCACCGGCCUCCGAAGCCGGGAGCGUGAGUUCGAGUCUCGCCGGGGGCGCCA